GAGGGUAUAGCUCAGUGGUAGAGCGUGUGCUUAGCAUGCACAAGGUCCUGGGUUUAAUCCCCAGUACCUCCA
This 72-nucleotide transfer RNA is filed under the name Camelus bactrianus (Bactrian camel). It matches the Rfam family "tRNA". Rfam says of the family: Transfer RNA (tRNA) molecules are approximately 80 nucleotides in length. Their secondary structure includes four short double-helical elements and three loops (D, anti-codon, and T loops). Further hydrogen bonds mediate the characteristic L-shaped molecular structure. tRNAs have two regions of fundamental functional importance: the anti-codon, which is responsible for specific mRNA codon recognition, and the 3' end, to which the tRNAs corresponding amino acid is attached (by aminoacyl-tRNA synthetases). tRNAs cope with the degeneracy of the genetic code in two manners: having more than one tRNA (with a specific anti-codon) for a particular amino acid; and 'wobble' base-pairing, i.e. permitting non-standard base-pairing at the 3rd anti-codon position. The record is from Rfam by way of RNAcentral. Lineage: Eukaryota; Metazoa; Chordata; Mammalia; Artiodactyla; Camelidae. RNAcentral also lists the same sequence under 2 other names.